GCCGAGACUAGAGUCACAUCCUGACAUGGUGCUUGUCUUGGUGUGCUAGAGUUCUCGAAGAGUAACUGCUGUCUUGAUUCACUGGUAGGUGUCCUUCAGUGUCCUUAUUAGUGCCCAGAUCAGACACAUGU
Acomys russatus (golden spiny mouse) is the source of this 131-nucleotide small nucleolar RNA. RefSeq annotates it as small nucleolar RNA SNORA3/SNORA45 family. NCBI's taxonomy places the organism in Eukaryota, Metazoa, Chordata, Mammalia, Rodentia, Muridae. The record is from RefSeq and is a predicted model, not a curated record. The transcript has a single exon.